GUGAAUCAUCAAAUUUUUGAACGCAAAUUGCACUCUCCUCGGAGAGUAUGCCUGUUUGAGGGUCAGCCUAUAAAAAAUCGACAUCGUUGCUGUUUCGCGGUGACGUUCGUCGGAAAUCGGGUUAUCUUAAAUCCUUUUGGUUUUAAGUGACUUAAAAUUUUCUUUCUGGUUCCUUGAACGUUUCUAAGAUUUAUUUCCUUUCACGUGUAUGGGUAUCGAUUUUUAUUAUACGUGACCAUCAUAUCGGAUCGCUCCCAUAUUC
Molecule: unclassified non-coding RNA, 262 nt
Filed under: Glomeraceae sp.
Lineage: Eukaryota; Fungi; Glomeromycota; Glomeromycetes; Glomerales; Glomeraceae
Description: partial contains 5.8S ribosomal RNA and internal transcribed spacer 2
Rfam family: 5.8S ribosomal RNA (bases 1-65)
Source: RNAcentral